This is an RNA transcript of Malania oleifera, 1820 nucleotides long. It is a transcript of the gene named probable voltage-gated potassium channel subunit beta, with no coding region annotated. The record is from RefSeq and is a predicted model, not a curated record. The transcript is spliced from 6 exons. Lineage: Eukaryota; Viridiplantae; Streptophyta; Magnoliopsida; Santalales; Ximeniaceae.
AGGCAUCUUUGUAUGCUCAGCGUCAGCAACAAAAAUGGCAUAUCUGCUAAUUCGUAACCCCCUCCACCGCUCGCGAUAAAUCUACAGCAUUCUCCAGUUGUGAUAAGUGUCUACUAAGCACACUGCUCAGCUCAGGCCUCAGCCUCAGCCUCAGCCUCAGCAGCAAACUACAACGAACCCCCUGGCUUCUUAAUUCUUGACCCAGCCCUGUCUCUGCUCUGCUUCUUCUUCUUCUUGGUCUCAGAUCCACCAGCAGCAGAAGGACUAGAAGAUGCAGUACAAGAACCUGGGACGUUCAGGGCUCAAGGUCAGCCAGCUCUCCUAUGGGGCCUGGGUCAGCUUCGGCAACCAGCUCGACGUUAAAGAAGCCAAGUCCCUCCUCCAAUGCUGCAGAGACAACGGCGUCAACUUUUUCGACAACGCCGAGGUCUACGCCAAUGGCCGGGCCGAGGAGAUCAUGGGUCAGGCCAUCCGCGAGCUCGGCUGGAAGCGAUCCGAUAUUGUCGUCUCCACCAAGAUCUUCUGGGGCGGCCCCGGGCCCAACGACAAGGGCCUCUCCCGCAAGCAUAUCGUGGAGGGCACAAAGGCCUCCCUCAAACGCCUUGACAUGGAGUACGUCGAUGUGAUCUACUGCCACCGCCCGGACUCGUCCACGCCCAUCGAGGAGACCGUGCGCGCCAUGAAUUACGUGAUCGAUCACGGGUGGGCAUUCUAUUGGGGCACCAGCGAGUGGUCGGCGCAGCAGAUCACUGAGGCGUGUGGCGUCGCGGAGCGCUUGGAUCUCGUCGGCCCCAUUGUGGAGCAGCCGGAGUACAAUUUGUUGUCUAGGCACAAGGUUGAAUCUGAAUACCUGCCUCUAUAUAGCAACUAUGGCCUGGGUCUUACAACAUGGAGUCCACUUGCAUCUGGAGUGCUGACUGGAAAAUACAGCAAGGGAAACAUACCGGCUGAUAGUCGGUUUGCACUAGAAAAUUACAAGAAUCUUGCCAGCAGAUCACUGGUUGAUGAUGUGCUGAAGAAGGUUAAUGGACUGAAACCAAUUGCGGAUGAACUGGGUGUGCCUUUGUCUCAACUUGCAAUUGCUUGGUGUGCUUCAAAUCCUAAUGUUUCAUCUGUUAUUACUGGUGCUACAAAGGAGGCCCAGAUACAGGAGAACAUGAAGGCUGUAGAUGUCAUUCCAUUACUGACUCCUGCUGUGCUGGAGAAGAUAGAGGCUGUUGUUCAAACCAAGCCAAAGCGUCCCGACUCAUACAGAUGAAUGCAACACUUACAAAUCAAUAGCUACUACUUGGUGCAUCUCUUCGCAGAUAUGUUGUUCCAAUUUAUUUUUUAUUGACUAGCUAUGAAUCAUGGAAUUGAAGGAAUGCGAGUUAAAGGAAGCCUGCCAGGAAUUGCAGACGGGCUAUGUUGAGAUAUUGUUGACCUUCUCAACACUCCCCCGCAAGUUGGAGAGUGAAUGUCAAGAACUUCCAACUUGUGCAUCAUAGUUGAGAAAACUUCCUUUCCCAAUGGUUUGGCGAACAAAUUUGCAAGUUGGUCCCUUGAAGCAAGUUACAAUUGAACCGUCUUGUAUUUUGUCAUGAAUAAAAUGACAAUCCAUCUUUGUGUCUGGUUCUUUCAUGGAAAACGAGAUUGACUGCUAUAUGUAAGGCGGUUGUGUUAUCACAAUAUAACAAUGUUGGCUUCAGAUGCAAUAUUAAGUGUAACUAGAAUGAUUCAAGGCAUGUAUUUAUCAUGACUCUAUAUUCGACUUUUGCUGAGGAGAGAGAUGAUUUUUUGCUUCGUUUCAUAAAUAUAUUUAUAGUUGAAGAGCACUUACA